GAGCCUUAGGGUCUUAAAAGGCCCUGCCCACAUCCUCCCGGACCCAGAAGGGUCUGUAGGCAGGCGGGGUGACCAAGGCUGGGCAGCCUGUCCAGCUGGUGGGGCGGGCGCAGAGAGAGGCACACUGUGGAGGGUUUUAGCCAGGUCUCACUUUGCCCGCUCUUCUGGUCCCUCUCAAACAGGAAGUCUCCCACUGAUUCACACCAGAGUGCCAGGACUCACCUUCUAUCUCCUUCAGAAGGACUAUCCUUGGCAGCCAGCAGCCCUUGAUGCCAGAUAGGAAAGAAGUGGUUUGAAGCAGGGAGGCACUGGCCCAGGAAACAGACCCCAGUACAAAUAUAACCCACCCUCAAGAGGACAGAUAACAAUAUCAGCAGAGAUGGUGAAAUACAGGAUUGAAACAUCCGUUAUUCUGAUGAUGUGCUUCACAGUAUUCAGUAAUUUGGAAUCUUCUGGAGCCAGGACUAAAUCACCCCAAAAAAUCUCCUCUGCCUUUUGGUGAACAGUGUUUGGAUACUACUCAGAUUGGAUUCAGACCCACGCUACUCCAGUAUGACUUCAUGUUCUUUUAACUGAGAACAUCUUCAAAGACCCUAUUUCUGAGCAAGGUCACAUUCACAGGUACCCGGGGUUAGGAGUUCAAGAUAUC
This is a long non-coding RNA of Loxodonta africana (African savanna elephant), 649 nucleotides long. RefSeq lists it as uncharacterized. The record is from RefSeq and is a predicted model, not a curated record. The transcript has 3 exons. NCBI's taxonomy places the organism in Eukaryota, Metazoa, Chordata, Mammalia, Proboscidea, Elephantidae.